RNAcentral lists this long non-coding RNA (828 nucleotides) under Homo sapiens (human). RNAcentral describes it as "HSALNT0362184". The record is from RNAcentral. Lineage: Eukaryota; Metazoa; Chordata; Mammalia; Primates; Hominidae.
GCACCACCACACCUGGCUAAUUUUGUAUUUUUAGUAGAGAUGGGGUUUCUCCAUGUUGGUCAGGCUGGUCUCGAACUCCCGACUUCAGGUGAUCCGCCCGCCUCAGCCUCCCAAAGGGCUGGGAUUACAGGCGUGAGCCACUGUGCCUGGCCCCAAGUUUUGCAUCUUUUAAUGCCCUCUGAACAAAUACAUAGAGAAAACUCUCAGAACAAUUAAAACCUGCAGAGCAACAGUGUCCUCCAUGUCUUAGGUUUCAAGUUUGCCUCUAAAAUUCUAAUCCAUAUUUUUCUACUUCUCAGAUAAUUUAUGUGUGUGUACUCUUCCUAGACGUACAAGAGACUUUUUAAUGCUAAAUAUUUGUCAGUGCUUAACAAAAACUCAAUUUCACAUUACUCAUAUUGUUUUUGUUUUAAUUGAAUGUGAAUUAAAUUUUUAUUAGUUAUUUGAUUUGGAAUGUUAUGUAUGCCAUUAACACUAUUAGGGGAAUCUCUAGCAUUUCUGUAUUUUUAAAGAAUUUGAUUCUUUUGUAGAUUCUGCCUGUGUGGUCAUUUUAAAACAUGUGUGACAUAUAUCAGUACCUUCAUUCUUCUAUAUUUUGUGUCUCCUCCAACCUCCAACUUUUUUUGUUUUUUGAAAAAUGUUUCUCUAACACCUCAACAGUUUAAGGUAAUUUAGUACACAUAUAUCAGUAUUUUUGUGAUCUGAAAAAGCAACCCAUUUUCUAAAUUCAUAUUUUUCCUAAAACUUUACUAUGUUUUUAUUUUAAGAGGUUUCCUGUUAUAUACACUUUUUACACAUGCAAAUAAACUUUAUACCAAGUGAGUAUUU